UCAACUAAGAGAGGCAAAGAGAGAGGUAACUCUUGUUAGCCAAUCCAACUAACCAAACUGAUAUAAUCUUUUUACCUUUUGUGAAAAUGAAUAAAACAUUUCUAAUAAUCUUAUAUCUUCCUUUAUCUUCACAAAAUCUAUCGCCGUUUCUAAUGAACCCUAAUUUCUUUCUUCCCCGACAUCUUUUAGAUUCAGAAAUCGAAAUCUGAAGUUGAACCCCUUUCUCCUUCUAUAGACGUUUUCUUUCUCCCUGAA
Molecule: long non-coding RNA, 255 nt
Filed under: Brassica rapa (field mustard)
Lineage: Eukaryota; Viridiplantae; Streptophyta; Magnoliopsida; Brassicales; Brassicaceae
Description: long non-coding RNA (BRAP_LNC002012)
Source: RNAcentral